This 75-nucleotide transfer RNA is filed under the name bacterium. RNAcentral's name for it is "tRNA-Leu". It matches the Rfam family "tRNA". Rfam says of the family: Transfer RNA (tRNA) molecules are approximately 80 nucleotides in length. Their secondary structure includes four short double-helical elements and three loops (D, anti-codon, and T loops). The record is from RNAcentral.
GGCCCGGUAGCCCAAUUGGCAGUAGGCACGACACUUAAAAUGUCGCAAGUAUCAGUUCGAAUCUGAUCCGGGCUA